This 999-nucleotide ribosomal RNA is filed under the name Staphylococcus aureus. RNAcentral describes it as "bacterial SSU rRNA". It matches the Rfam family "Bacterial small subunit ribosomal RNA", at positions 26 to 1006 of the family's 1533-position model. Lineage: Bacteria; Bacillati; Bacillota; Bacilli; Caryophanales; Staphylococcaceae. The record is from RNAcentral.
AGGAUGAACGCUGGCGGCGUGCCUAAUACAUGCAAGUCGAGCGAACGGACGAGAAGCUUGCUUCUCUGAUGUUAGCGGCGGACGGGUGAGUAACACGUGGAUAACCUACCUAUAAGACUGGGAUAACUUCGGGAAACCGGAGCUAAUACCGGAUAAUAUUUUGAACCGCAUGGUUCAAAAGUGAAAGACGGUCUUGCUGUCACUUAUAGAUGGAUCCGCGCUGCAUUAGCUAGUUGGUAAGGUAACGGCUUACCAAGGCAACGAUGCAUAGCCGACCUGAGAGGGUGAUCGGCCACACUGGAACUGAGACACGGUCCAGACUCCUACGGGAGGCAGCAGUAGGGAAUCUUCCGCAAUGGGCGAAAGCCUGACGGAGCAACGCCGCGUGAGUGAUGAAGGUCUUCGGAUCGUAAAACUCUGUUAUUAGGGAAGAACAUAUGUGUAAGUAACUGUGCACAUCUUGACGGUACCUAAUCAGAAAGCCACGGCUAACUACGUGCCAGCAGCCGCGGUAAUACGUAGGUGGCAAGCGUUAUCCGGAAUUAUUGGGCGUAAAGCGCGCGUAGGCGGUUUUUUAAGUCUGAUGUGAAAGCCCACGGCUCAACCGUGGAGGGUCAUUGGAAACUGGAAAACUUGAGUGCAGAAGAGGAAAGUGGAAUUCCAUGUGUAGCGGUGAAAUGCGCAGAGAUAUGGAGGAACACCAGUGGCGAAGGCGACUUUCUGGUCUGUAACUGACGCUGAUGUGCGAAAGCGUGGGGAUCAAACAGGAUUAGAUACCCUGGUAGUCCACGCCGUAAACGAUGAGUGCUAAGUGUUAGGGGGUUUCCGCCCCUUAGUGCUGCAGCUAACGCAUUAAGCACUCCGCCUGGGGAGUACGACCGCAAGGUUGAAACUCAAAGGAAUUGACGGGGACCCGCACAAGCGGUGGAGCAUGUGGUUUAAUUCGAAGCAACGCGAAGAACCUUACCAAAUCUUGACAUCCUUUGACAACUCUAGAGA